Molecule: small RNA, 29 nt
Filed under: Bombyx mori (domestic silkworm)
Lineage: Eukaryota; Metazoa; Arthropoda; Insecta; Lepidoptera; Bombycidae
Description: ovarian small RNA-12806
Source: RNAcentral
CAACGUAAAAAAGAUUUACUACCGAGAGU